RNAcentral lists this small nuclear RNA (104 nucleotides) under Dasypus novemcinctus (nine-banded armadillo). The record is from RNAcentral. Lineage: Eukaryota; Metazoa; Chordata; Mammalia; Cingulata; Dasypodidae.
GUGCACUUAGCAACACCUAUACUAAAAUUGGGAUAAUAUAGAGAAGACUAGCAUGGUCCCUGUGCAAGGAUGACAGGGAAAUCCAUGAAGCAUUCCAUAUUUUU